RNAcentral lists this ribosomal RNA (242 nucleotides) under Candidatus Acetothermia bacterium. RNAcentral describes it as "partial 16S ribosomal RNA". It matches the Rfam family "Bacterial small subunit ribosomal RNA", at positions 1291 to 1533 of the family's 1533-position model. The record is from RNAcentral. Lineage: Bacteria; Candidatus Bipolaricaulota.
GUUCGGAUUGCAGGCUGCAACUCGCCUGCAUGAAGCCGGAAUCGCUAGUAAUCGCGGGUCAGCCACACCGCGGUGAAUACGUACUCGGGGCUUGUACACACCGCCCGUCACGCCAACCGAGUGGGGGGUACCUGAAGUCGUCCGAUGAGGGCGCCGAGGGUGUCCUUCAUAAGAGGGGCGAAGUCGUAACAAGGUAGCGGUACGGGAACGUGCGGCUGGAUCACCUCCUUUCUAGGGAGUAA